RNAcentral lists this transfer RNA (76 nucleotides) under Actinomycetota bacterium. RNAcentral describes it as "Actinobacteria bacterium (freshwater metagenome) tRNA-Glu". It matches the Rfam family "tRNA". Rfam says of the family: Transfer RNA (tRNA) molecules are approximately 80 nucleotides in length. Their secondary structure includes four short double-helical elements and three loops (D, anti-codon, and T loops). The record is from RNAcentral. Lineage: Bacteria; Bacillati; Actinomycetota.
GCCCCCAUCGUCCAGCGGUCUAGGACGCCGGCCUUUCACGCCGGUAACACGGGUUCGAAUCCCGUUGGGGGUACGA